GCCACGUAUUCCGUAUGCUACACGGUAGCAUUGUAUCCUGUUUAAUCUGGACGGUGAGCAGCGUGAGAGCACGCACUGCCUUCUUCUUCUUUGUGUCCUGGGUCUGUCUAGGGCCCGGCUCGGAGCUCGUAGGAACUCAGAGUCUUUUGUGGCUGAGUCGAGUUCUGUCCUAACCGUUCACUGUGUGCUGAGCUCCUCGUGGGGGGCGCCCCGUGGAACCUGUUAUGAAAUAUUCCCAGAGGCAUGGAGGGUGACUUCUGUAACCCUAGGACAGUUAUCCGUGGGUGCUUGGCUCUCUCCAGUCUUUAUCUUGUCUCGGGAGGCUGUUGGGUCAUUGACACGAGGUGGGGUCUUGGAUGAACCACUCCUGUCGUUAGGGGCUGGGACAGCCUUUUUCCAGAUUGUCCUGUUCCAGCGGCCUGAGGAGUGUCUUCCUGGACUCCCACCAGGAGUUAGAAGCCUUCUCAACUGUCGGUGUGCUUCCUGUUUGCACAUUUGAUUUGGUGCCUAGUGUAUGUCGUCUUGCCGCCUUGUCAUAUUACCUCAUUUCCCUUUUAUAGUUGCUUGUCAUUCAAGGAACGGAUUGGAGCAGAAGGCAUUUAAGGUCCUGUACUAGUGUCCUGUGGCUGCUGCAACAAAUGACCACAAACGUGGUGGCCUCAAACAACACAAAUUCGUUCUCUUACAGUCUGGAGGUCUGACCCAGGUCUCACUGGGCUAACGUCAAGGUGUCGGCAGGGCUGGUUCAUUUCUGGAAGGAGCGUCUGUUUCCUUGCCUUUUCCAGCUUCUGGGGGACAUCCGCAUUCCUUGGCUUGUGGCCCCUUCUUCCAUCUUGAAAGCCAGCAGCCCAGCAGCGUCCAAUCCCUCUCUGACUCUGCUCCUGCCCUCACAUCUCCUUCUCUGACUCUGACCCUCCCGCCUCCCUCUUACAAGGACCCUGCGAUGACAGUGGACUCGCCUGGAUUGUCCCGGCUGCUCUUCCCACCUCAAGAGCCUGAGCUUAAUCACAUCUCUGUCUCUGUCUCUGUCUCUCUCUCCUUCUCCCCCUCCUUCUCUCUCUCUUCCUACGCCACUCCUUGGUUCUUUCCUUCACGGGAUCAACACAGUUUGUAAUCCUGCGUGUACAGGUUUCAAGUCUGUCUCCCCCACUGUUUGAGAAGCUCGUCUCCUUGUUCACGGCUAUAUUCCCAGGAUCUAGAGAAAUGCCGGUAGAAUUAUGCUCGAGUUGAAAAUUUCCCUCUGACGCAUUCCCGUCCAUUUGCAGGCCAUGGGCCUGUCAAUCAGAGAGGAAGAGAUGCCCACACCACGUUCUAGCCCCGCGGCUUCCCGGCCAGCCUCGGGGUAGCAUGCUUAGUGCCCACCGACACUGUCUGUCCCAGACCUGAUCCCCCGACCGGGAACUACUGUCUGAGCAGAGACUCUGCACACACACUCCUCACCUUGAAGGCAGAGUUUUGUCACCAUCUUGUUCGUACUUAUGGCGCAAGUGGCUACCGCUGCCCAACAGAUGGAGUUCACGGAAGUCCGGGUCCUGGAGAAACGUAUGUGCUGGCUGUGACAGGUCAGUGGAGGCAGGAACACAGCAAUCGAUGACAUUUAACAAGCUCAGAAGUUAUUUCCCCCGCAGACCUAAGGAUUAUGACCAAGUCUGAUUUGUCUUUACCCCUGAAGACAGGCAGUGGGAAAAAAACAGGCCCAAGAGCUUUGAAGACAAAGUUUCUGUCUGUGCUGUGGGCUGCUCCCGACAGCCAGGUGUCACCUGAAGCGGAAGGAUGAGGAUCGGUGUGAGCAUACACAGACGGCUGAGGCUACAGGUUCGAGAUGUCCACUGGGGCCGCAGUUUGGAAAGUACGUGCUGACAUGGCAGCUGAGAACCAAAACCCCUUCUGAGCCUGUGGUCAAACCCUCCUAAUAAGAAGAGAAACUGAGAGUCUCAGGCCGCGUGCUGGGAGAGCCGCACGGUCGGGCAAGGGGCUGGGGGUGGGGGAGGCGCCAGGAAAACUCUGAAAAUUCUGCACCCUGUUUUGCUUUCACUCACCUAGAUUUAGAAGAAUCCUCUGGCAAAAUGAAACUGAACUCUUACUUCCCCACUGAUGGUCUCCCGGUGACGGCAUAGACACUCUUGUCCUUGGUGGUAGAUCUGGAUGCUUUGGGUGUCGGCUUUGUCAAGGUUUAAUUUAUGUACAAUAAAAUCCACCAAUUUGAAGUGUACCAUUUAAUGAGUUUUGACAAAUGUGUACAGUCCUGCAGCCACCACGAUCAUGACAUAAACCAUUUCCAUCGUCCCAACAGUUCCCUCGUCUCUCUCUCUCUGGGUAAUCUCCUUCUUCCACCCCCAGCUCCCGGCAACCCCUGAGCUGCUUUCCAGCACUGUGGUUUGGCUUUUUCUUUUUAUGAAUUGUAUGUGCAUAGAAUCUUACAGCAUGUGGUCCUUUAUGUCUGGCUUUUGAAACUUAACGGAGUGCUUUUACGAGUCCUCCACACUGUUGUGUUUCAGUCGCCUGUUCGGUGUGGAGACGUGACAAUUUGUUUGACCAUUCACCAGUUCCUGGAUGUCUGGGUUGUUUCCAGUGUUUGGAGACACCGAAUAAAGCUGCUAUAAACAUUCAUUUACAGGUAUUAACGUGGACAUAUGUUUUCUAUUUUUGUGGUAAAUACCUAUAAGUGGAAUUACUGGG
Molecule: long non-coding RNA, 2679 nt
Organism: Equus asinus (donkey)
Lineage: Eukaryota; Metazoa; Chordata; Mammalia; Perissodactyla; Equidae
Source: Ensembl